This is a long non-coding RNA of Dromaius novaehollandiae (emu), 3197 nucleotides long. RefSeq lists it as uncharacterized. NCBI's taxonomy places the organism in Eukaryota, Metazoa, Chordata, Aves, Casuariiformes, Dromaiidae. The record is from RefSeq and is a predicted model, not a curated record. The transcript is spliced from 4 exons.
GAAAAUUUUCCACUUGAAUGUGCAAUUAACCAGCAGCAGCGGCAGCAGCUCUGGAGAAGGAGAAGAAGCAGCAAAAAAGGACAUUCCUUCUUUCAUCUUUUAGGGUAAAAUAGAAGGGGGAGAGGCCUAUGCUGCUUUACAUCCCACAGAGAGCCAGCAAGAUGCAUUGCCAACACAUGAAAGGGUCCAUGGGAAUGGAGGACCACCUCAAAUAGGUAUCCCUCAGGAAAAGCAAUACCUCCCACAGGUCACAAAGUCAUCUAAAUUCAUUGUGAGUACAGAACUGAGGUUCACUGAAAAUCAGGCCCCAGCUAAGCUUUGGCUGAAUUUUUAAGCAACAACCAUUGGAAAAGGACCUUCAUGAAGCCUCCCAUUCAAAGUCCAGAUUUAACAACCAUAACAUCUAGAACCAAAAGCAACAUUCAGGUAAAGUGUUAAUCCACUGCCCUCCUAUCCCUCUUCACAGAAGUGGCCAGUUUCAGACAAAAGUUGUUCACGUUUCCUCAUGGUACCCUCUAGAAGAGGCAUGGAAAUGCCCUUGCUGUAACUUAAAAUGCAGAAGAGGUGAAUGGUGUGGCUGAGGUAACAAGAGCAGCUGUGUUGCUGUAGCACAAAGCUGUUGCUUCAGAGCUUAGUUAGCCCAUGGGGUGGUCUGGCUACUGUGGGUGGGCUACCCGUGGUACUCACACAAGCCCUGCCACCCCCUGCUAGCUCAGGUGCUUCCACGGUGCAAGUGCUCACCUAUUCCCAAGUUUCAAAAAUGAUGCAGAAACUUCACUUUGCGUUAGUGUCAGCCUUUUGCAGUGUCACAGUCAUGAUAUGGACAACAGCCCCAAAGGAAUUGGACUAGAGCAAGCGUUUUCCUUCCCUUGAGUUGAUGAAGCAGCCCUUGGUUAUAGCUGCAGUGUGAGUGACUGCUUUAACAGUGUUCUGCAGUCCGUAAUUUUGCACUGUGCGUUUUCCCCAAGGAGUGACCAUGGCUAGCUUAUUGAAAUCACACACAAAAAGGUCUUAGUCUAUUUCUUAGUGGUUGAUAGCAGAUAAAACUGUGAACUAUAGUGGUGGAACCUGCAGAAACCUGGGGUUUAUUGCUGGCUUUGUGACGAGAUGGAGGGCUGACUUCAGACAAAUAUUUUAAUCCCUUUGUGUUUCAAUUUCCCUCACAUGUGGAGAGAGGUGCUCGCCUCCUUUUCGACAAUGCUGCAUGGAAGUAAGGGAUGAGGUGCACUCUGGGAGCAAGCCUAGGGAAGCUUGUCCAGUUGCUGACUUUAGCCACCUGCUCCCAGAUAGCCUGAGAGCUUCAGUUCCCAAGGCUGCCAAUGCAGGACCUUUACCAGUGCUCUGUUCACUAACCAAACAUGUCUUUUUAUUAUGUUGUUGUUAUUAUUGCAGUUGGUCAACAGAAACCCCAUAAAACUUGAUGUUGUAAAAAAUAAUAAAAACAUGGUAAAGUUACAAAAAUUGACUUUGAUACUAAGUACCAGGUUGGCAUGACUACAAGUACGGCAUCACACACAGAGAAGCUACCAACACUCCUGCUCAUCAAGAAGCUCAGGCCAUGCUGGCCAGCCUCCUGGGUCUCUGCAUCCCCUCACCACACACCCUCCAGCACAAAUCCCCAGCAGACUCUUCUUUCCCGCCAGCUGAAACUACAGCAGGGGCUUUAAAAGUGGCUCUGGGCUGUGCUGCUGAACACCAGGUCAGAAGUUGCACUUGAUGCAGGUAUGGACUCUUUACUCCCUGCCAUGACUUUAUACUGUGGCCACAUGAAAAACUAGUGGUUACAUGAUUGUCUCCACCCACCGUCCAUGUCAUGGUUGUAUCCGAUCCUUUUGUGUAAGCCAUUUUGUAAACAGAGAUCCCAAUUUUUUAAAUGCUGCUCCACAGGCUGGUCAUUAGAUUUGAUCUACAGCUUUCUCUUAGCUUGGGAUGAUCAUUAAUAUCAUGUGAAGUAUUUUGAAAGAUAGCAAUUUUCCAGGGCAAUAUAAAUUUGAAUUUCAGAUGCUUAUAAAUAAUAAAGAAUAUAAACAUCAUAGGUACAGUUUAGUUUAUCUUCAUUUUUUACGUGACUUCUCUGGAUGGCAGGACAGCUGAACUGACUGCACAAAAUACAUUUUCAAAGUUAGAAAUAUAUAGCCAUCUGUUCAGCUCAUCACGUGUUAAUAGAUAUCUCAAAUUUCAAUUCGAGAAACAGCCAUCUUAAUAAAUAAGGUAACAGCAGGAAACCUGUGUUAACUAAUGGAGACCUAGCUGUAGUAGUACUACAUCUGUGUAAGUCAGUCAUUACAGAAAUAUUCAGACACAAAGUACUUGGCUUAUAUAAGACCUUUUAUCAAAAAGCAUUAGAAAGCUGCACUUUCUGGAAGGUUGGGACUGAGACUAGGAAAAGACCUAGCCAGAAGAUUUGUACCUCUAAGCUGACACUUGGAUAUGUUUUACAGAGGUAAGAGUUCCUUCCUAAAGAUGAACCUGCCCAAGCUUCACAUAUUUCUUCUGUGGACAACCAGUUGGUAUGCCAGAGAUGACCCUUUAGACAACUUCAGACCCACCUGAACUUGAAAUUCAGGCCACUAACUCUAAAGAAAAUGGCCCAUGCAAAAUGCCUGAGCUAACACCACUAUUAAGUUAAUUGUGCAGCCUCUGUAGGGCAGUGUCUUAUUUAAGUGUCUGGUUGCAGAUAAUUGAAUUUCAUCUGAAAGGUGAGCUUCUACUAGGCAAUAGUAGCCUAUACGUGCAUCUGUAGGCAUGAAGUGAGACAACUUACAAAAUAAGUAGAAGUCUGAUUUUUAAUCCUUUUUUGCUGUUCCAGAAGGCUCUUUUUGCUGCAUGGUUACAGGCAGUGUGAAGGGCUGUAACUCUAGGUCUUUGGUUGCCAAGAUGAUGAAAAUGUCACUCUCGGGCAGAUGGUACUGCUGAUGCAGAAGGUCACUGACUUGGAAAUUCAUUUAAACAAUCUGAAACAAAAACAAGUGAAUGGCGGAGAUAGUCCAUUAUUACCCUUGGAUAUUCAAAAGAGGGAUGAGGAAGCACAGAAAAAAGAGGAAGGUCAGUUUUUCCUUGGAUUAGUUAUAGAGACCACAUUAGAUUUCCUUAAGAACUAGACAGAAACAUAAGCCACUGAAUGAAAUCAUGGGUCAGAUCCUUGGAAUUCCAUAGAUGAGGUUCUUAUCUGAGUAGGGGAAACCACAGAGGGCACA